Long non-coding RNA from Oncorhynchus tshawytscha (Chinook salmon), 650 nucleotides. NCBI's taxonomy places the organism in Eukaryota, Metazoa, Chordata, Actinopteri, Salmoniformes, Salmonidae. The record is from Ensembl.
GUCCACCACCCAACGGACAUCCAGCCAACUUGACACAACUGUGGGAAGCAUUGGAGUCAACUUAGGCCAGCUUCCCUGUGGAACGCUUUCAACACCUUGUAGAGUCCAUGUCCCUGACGAAUUGAGGCUGUUCUGAGGGCAAAAGGGGGUGAAACUGAAUUUUAGGUAGGUGUCCUUACCUGUAGUAGACAAAGUCCCAGCCCGAGCUGAGGUCUUGUACAGCGGAGCCUGGUAGAGAGACGGAUCAGGGUCAUAGUUCUGCUGGGGUUCGAAGUGCACCACGGGAAGCAUGGCGUUCAUCACCCGUGGCAACGCAUCCUCGAUCACCAUGUCGACGUCGUCCCAGCGACUGGCGUCCAUGAACAUCCCGUGCACCAGCACGCCGUCGUUGAUGCGCUACAACAAGCAGCGCAGCAGUAAUGAAUGAGGAGGAAAGUGUAUCGAAAUACUACGACUCGAGUUUGGCCUUCAGCUGGAAGACGGUGUCCCUUUAUGGUCGGGGUCAGUGGAGGAAAGGGAGAGCGGAGGGAUGUUGAGAGACGGACCCUCAGUCUGCUGCUCUCUCCCUCCGCUGAGACUGACCAUCAGAUGCAGGCACCAUCAGCCCAGUAAAAUAAACAGCUAAUUAUUUAAAUGUAUGCUCACUCAGC